AGCAAACACCUGGCCACACCGGCAGCUAAUCCCACAGACACCUAGUGCGUGCGCCCUGCCCAGUGAGGUUCCCCAUGCCACCAGGGAGUCCCCCUGGGGGCCAAGAUGAGGCUGAGGAGCUCCAGGAGACAUUCUUUUCCAUAGGAAUGGGAGAUACUUACUAAGACACAUCAGCUUUGAGCUGCCGCCAAGCCACAUGGACCUUGGAGGUUAGGAGUGAGGGUCCCACCCUUUCCUCCCAGAAAAACACACAGCCAAUGCUCUGAGAACCGUGGGACCCUCACUGACAGGCAAUGAAGCUCCAUGACCUCAGGAACUCCAUGAGAAGAGGCAUUUCUGACUUCAUGGUGCCCUCCUUCCAGAAGAGUAUGAAAAAAUUCUGUUUUUCAAAUGUGUUGAUAAAGAGAACAGUGUGUUAAUAUUAUAUGUGAAAUAAUCUCUUUGACCUAAAUGUUCUUUUUUUUCUCUCUCUCUCCUUAAAAUGCUAAUAGUAACUGCCACCCUUGUGAGAGCAUGGUGGCAAGGGGAAGCAAAGGCAGUGGUGAGAUCUUGGAGACAAUAUAGGUGAGGAAUAGAACAUGGGGGUAUCGUGAUCCACAUGGGAAGCGAGACACACAGCGUAAGUGUGUGGGGAAGACUGACAGGCCAGUGUGUGACCCAUGGAGGGGGUCAGUCCCUGAGACUUGCUUCCACACAAGUGCUCCUACCUAUGUCUAUCCUGUGACCCAAGGCAGACCCAUGGCUACUUCUACAGUGAGUUAUCAAUUGGAAGACUGCUUCCCUGACCCUAUGGCUGGCUGGCUGUUUGUGCUGGGCCCUGUGUUCCCUUCUUCCUCAGCACCACCGCUGCGUCUCAGGUGUUCCCUGAACACCUGCUCAAGUCCACCCCAACUGUGAUACUUCAGUGGCACCUUAAACCUACUCAUUCAGACAUGAUCGUGUCUACCCAUGACUGCGGCUGCGGGAGGAAGGAGAGGAGGGUCACAGUCCUGUACAGAUCCCAGGGGACACCAUGCCUGCUUCUGGCCUCUGGCCCAGCUGAGUAGUGUCACCGCUUGGCUCCAGGCCACUCUGCAGACUCUCUGGACUUCGGCAGCUUCCUUCUCAAGGGCAGACGUGGGAGCUGUUUCGGAGGUGGCACAACCUUGAGUGUGUGUGAAGGCUGCUGCACACAGCAAAGUUCUGCCCCUGGUGUGAGGAUUGGGUGGAGGGAACAGGGGAAAUGAGCAGUAAAUGAGGGCGCUUGAGGAUGCUUCUGUUCUGGAAACUAUUCAGAGAUCCUUUCAGGACUAGUUUGCAAACCAUGGGCACCAGUAACUAUCACAGUGGGAGAUAGGGCCUUAGCCAUAUCAAAUCUUUGUCCAGCUCCUCCUGUGAGCCAGUGCUCAUUCAGUCCUUAUCUGCCCAUUCAUUCAUUCAUAUUCAUUCAUUCAUUCAUUCAUAUACAUUCAUUUACUCAUUCAUUUAUUCACUAAUUCACUGAUUCAAUCAUUCAUUCACUCCAAUUUUUUUUCAUUCUAUCAUCAUGCAUCCUUGGAGCUGCCCUGUAUUGAGGCAGACACAUCUGAAAUACAAAUGACUCAAGCACAAAAUGGGUUCCUGUCUGGUCAAUGUCCAGUGUGGGGAGUGCCCCAAACCCUCUCCAUCUUGCCCAUUCUCUGUGUGUCCCUGAGAGAAGGUGGGCAGAGCUUAGUGGGGAUGGCUACUUUAAGGGAUGUUAGAUGUUCACAGAGCAUUUUCCCCUGUGAAGUCUGUCAUGUUUCAGUACACAUUUCAGUUUCAUAAUAAAUAGACGGAUGCUCAAAUAUUGCAUUGCUUCUCCCCCAAUGAUAGACUUUGUGUAAUUAUUUCUGUCGUCAACCUGAGUUGACACAGUAAUUGGGAAACCAGCUGGAUACUGUUCAUAAGGAAAGUUAAUUAAUUAAAUUUUAAACUAUUUUUUAUUCCCUUCCUUUUUUAAAAAAAUGGUUAAAACUAAUUAAUAUAUGUGUAUGAUAAAUUUUAAGCAGGAUAAAGGUGAUAAAAAAAACUGGAGACAAUCUUUCUCUGCCCUAUCUUACACAUGUAGUCUUUCAGAAAAUGAUUUUCA
This 2089-nucleotide long non-coding RNA is filed under the name Cricetulus griseus (Chinese hamster). RNAcentral's name for it is "lncRNA (ENSCGRG00015042765.1)". Lineage: Eukaryota; Metazoa; Chordata; Mammalia; Rodentia; Cricetidae. The record is from RNAcentral.